GCCCCGGUAAACGGCGGCCGUAACUAUAACGGUCCUAAGGUAGCGAAAUUCCUUGUCGGGUAAGUUCCGACCUGCACGAAUGGCGUAAUGAUGGCCAGGCUGUCUCCACCCGAGACUCAGUGAAAUUGAACUCGCUGUGAAGAUGCAGUGUACCCGCGGCAAGACGGAAAGACCCCGUGAACCUUUACUAUAGCUUGACACUGAACAUUGAGCCUUGAUGUGUAGGAUAGGUGGGAGGCUUUGAAGUGUGGACGCCAGUCUGCAUGGAGCCGACCUUGAAAUACCACCCUUUAAUGUUUGAUGUUCUAACGUUGGCCCGUAAUCCGGGUUGCGGACAGUGUCUGGUGGGUAGUUUGACUGGGGCGGUCUCCUCCUAAAGAGUAACGGAGGAGCACGAAGGUUGGCUAAUCCUGGUCGGACAUCAGGAGGUUAGUGCAAUGGCAUAAGCCAGCUUGACUGCGAGCGUGACGGCGCGAGCAGGUGCGAAAGCAGGUCAUAGUGAUCCGGUGGUUCUGAAUGGAAGGGCCAUCGCUCAACGGAUAAAAGGUACUCCGGGGAUAACAGGCUGAUACCGCCCAAGAGUUCAUAUCGACGGCGGUGUUUGGCACCUCGAUGUCGGCUCAUCACAUCCUGGGGCUGAAGUAGGUCCCAAGGGUAUGGCUGUUCGCCAUUUAAAGUGGUACGCGAGCUGGGUUUAGAACGUCGUGAGACAGUUCGGUCCCUAUCUGCCGUGGGCGCUGGAGAACUGAGGGGGGCUGCUCCUAGU
This 766-nucleotide ribosomal RNA is filed under the name Escherichia coli. Its description in RNAcentral is "partial 23S ribosomal RNA". It matches the Rfam family "Bacterial large subunit ribosomal RNA", at positions 1917 to 2682 of the family's 2925-position model. Lineage: Bacteria; Pseudomonadati; Pseudomonadota; Gammaproteobacteria; Enterobacterales; Enterobacteriaceae. The record is from RNAcentral.